AUUAGAUGAGCCUAUAUUAGAUUAGCUAGUUGGUGGAGUAAUAGCCUACCAAGGCAAUGAUCUAUAGCUGAUCUGAGAGGAUGAUCAGCCACACUGGAACUGAGAUACGGUCCAGACUCCUACGGGAGGCAGCAGUGGGGAAUAUUGGACAAUGGGCGAAAGCCUGAUCCAGCUAUGCCGCAUGAGUGAAGAAGGCCUUUGGGUUGUAAAGCUCUUUUAGUGAGGAAGAUAAUGACGGUACUCACAGAAGAAGUCCUGGCUAACUCCGUGCCAGCAGCCGCGGUAAUACGGAGAGGGCUAGCGUUAUUCGGAAUUAUUGGGCGUAAAGGGCGCGUAGGCUGAUUAAUAAGUUAAAAGUGAAAUCCCGAGGCUUAACCUUGGAAUUGCUUUUAAAACUAUUAAUCUAGAGAUUGAAAGAGGAUAGAAGAAUUCCUGAUGUAGAGGUAAAAUUCGUAAAUAUUAGGAGGAACACCAGUGGCGAAGGCGUCUAUCUGGUUCAAAUCUGACGCUGAGGCGCGAAGGCGUGGGGAGCAAACAGGAUUAGAUACCCUGGUAGUCCACGCUAUAAACGAUGAAUGUUAAAUAUGGGAAG
RNAcentral lists this ribosomal RNA (592 nucleotides) under Wolbachia endosymbiont of Bemisia tabaci. Its description in RNAcentral is "bacterial SSU rRNA". It matches the Rfam family "Bacterial small subunit ribosomal RNA", at positions 220 to 829 of the family's 1533-position model. The record is from RNAcentral. Lineage: Bacteria; Pseudomonadati; Pseudomonadota; Alphaproteobacteria; Rickettsiales; Anaplasmataceae.